CUGGGUCGGGUCACCGCGCGGGUUGAAGAGGGCCUAAACGGCGCCGUUCUAUUUUUAAUAUAAAAAGUAAAAAAACCCAAAACCAUCAGAUUUUCAUUUUUACAAAAAAAAGAAAGAGAGGGAGAGAGAUGCUCUCCCUGGCCACGCAUCCGGCUUGGGCAUCCGGCGAGCCUCCGCCGUAGCGCCACCGUGUGUGGCGGCCGGAGGCUCAAAAUCGGACCUUUUUUGGUCCCCUUUGUAGCCCACUGCUUCUAGGCCAGGAAUAUGGGGCCGAAACUCGUCAAAAGGGAUACCAAAAACUCGAAAACGAGCCGACACCCUUCGACUUCUCCCCCUCCGACGUGGUGCAGGAAAAAAGGUGACGGCGCAAGUGGACGUGGCGGUGAUGGAUGUCCGGCAACGUCAGAACGCCAAAGGUCAAAAGGCUAAGGAGGAGGGCGGCGCCUAGGGUUUCAGUCUCUGAAACCCUAGGCAGAUAUUUUUUUAGGAGUUGGGCUCCGGAUUCGGGCCUUGGGUUUGGUUUAAUUGUUUUGGGCUGAGGGUUAAUGGAUGUUGUAAUUGGGUAGCUGGGAUUUGGGUUUAGUUUAGGAGAGUUAAUUGAUUUUGGGUUCUUGGGCCCAGGUCUGGGCAAAAUUGGGUUAUACAAAUUUUCUUUUAAAAAAAAAAAUUAUUAGGUGUCCGAUCACACCUAGAAAAAAGAUCGGUGGCGACUCCCUUUUUAAAUAAAAUUGAAACUCCGUUUUUAAAUUUUCAA
Gossypium raimondii (Peruvian cotton) is the source of this 754-nucleotide long non-coding RNA. RefSeq lists it as uncharacterized. NCBI's taxonomy places the organism in Eukaryota, Viridiplantae, Streptophyta, Magnoliopsida, Malvales, Malvaceae. The transcript is spliced from 2 exons. The record is from RefSeq and is a predicted model, not a curated record.